RNAcentral lists this long non-coding RNA (2654 nucleotides) under Canis lupus familiaris (dog). RNAcentral's name for it is "lncRNA (ENSCAFG00000052894.1)". The record is from RNAcentral. Lineage: Eukaryota; Metazoa; Chordata; Mammalia; Carnivora; Canidae.
AAUGAGUAAACAGUAGUGACUAACAUCAGUGGGCCAGGGCUUUGCAAGAAUUUGUUUAAAAUAUAGGAGGAGACCUAUAAGAGUUAAUUGCUUAUUCUAAAGCAUGCAAUUUCUUUGAUCUGACACUAACCUAUAUCUCAACUUCAUCUUCUAUUCAUUAUGGGCCAGAGCCUGUCUUAAACUCCUUGUAUCAUUUAAUUCUUUCAGCAAUCAUUUGUAGUAGUUAUUAAUAUUAUUCCCAUUUUAGGGAUGAGAAAUCUGAACUACCAGAGAGAGGUAAGUGAUUUACUUAAGUUGAUACAACCAGUAAAUAGUAGAGAUGGAAUUUGAACUCAUCCAGUCUGGGUCAUGAUCCUCACCCUUGACUCUAGAAUUGACAAUGAUAUGAUAGGAGGUUAGAUAGAGAUACUAGAGGGCAGAUACUAUGUAUGCAUCAUCUUAUUUAGUACUGAUACUAACUCUUUAAUUUACUUACUAUUAUUAACCCAAUUUUAUACAUGUAAUGAAAUGUCCAAGGAAAGAUUAGUAGUAAUUGGCACAUACCAGAAGAAUCUACCUCUAAAAUUCAAACCAGUAUAUCGCUCAAGUUGAGAUGUGCCAAUGUAGAUAUCCAAAAAUCCCUUCAAGCCCUGAAAUUCACUGAUUUUUAAACGGGAGUUUCUGAUUUCUGUAGCUGGUAGGGGGUAGACUCAUAUUGAUGACAAGUUUAGAAAUGUCCUAAAGCCAUACACAGAAAUUCAAGGAUCAGCAUUUCUAUCCCACUUCUGGGCAUUAUGGAAAUUCUCCCUUAUUCUUAUCAGCUUCCCUAUAAUCUUGCUUGAGCUGAGCUUAACGUGAGUGGAUUUCAGCCCGAAGGAAUAUUCUAGCAGGCUGGAGGAGCCUCGUAAAUUUUCAUUCUCUAAGCAAUGUUAGCAUGGAGUCUUAGAACUCAUUACCUCUGAGUAUAUGGCAUCAGUAAUUAAAGAGGUGAAGCCAGAAAACAGAGAAUAUUCACAUUUCCAACAAUUAAAAGCACUCUUUGUUUAACCAUUUGAAUUACAAUCUAAACACCUAUCAUGAGUUCAAUACAAUUCAUAAAUAUUGGGUGCCUCCAAUAGAUCAUACACUGUUCUAGGCUUUGGCAAUAAAAAUAAGAAGCUGUCCUAGAUCUCAAGGAACUAUCAUUUCAAUUGACAGAGAUAUCUAAAUAAAUAAAUUCAUAUUCUUGGUAAUACAUAUAGAGAGACACAUGAGAACUACCCUGAAGGAGAGAAGGUUCACUGUGAAAGGACGCACAAAGCUGGAGAGAAUUGGAGUGGGGGAAGGGGUUGGCAAUAUCUUCCCAGAAGAGCUCACAAAUGAGAUGGGUUUUGAAGACAUGAUGUGAAGACAUACUGAUUUUAGGUAAAGCUAUACAUAUAGAUAAAGAAACAAAGUUUCAGAGGAAAAAAUUAGGUGCACAUAAUAUCUUAGUUGUCAUGGAGUUUAUUUAACUGAGUGAACAACUAGACAACAAUUAAGACACAAACAGGGCAGCCUGCUUCUCCCUCUGCCUGUGUCUUUGCCUCUCUCUCUCUCUCUCCCUCUCUUUCUGUCUCUCAUGAAUGACUUUUGCUGCUCAAAGAAGGAAAAGACCCACACUCAUCCUCAAGGUUGCAGAGUUUCAAGUACUGGUGAAAGAAAACUUCUCUGACCUUUAUUCCCCAAAUAUUUUAUUAUUCUUUCCCUUAUGACGUCUCUGUUUCUAGUACAUAUUUUGAUUAUAUCAGCUGUUCCCCAACAUUAUAUAUUUCUUAAAAAUUGAAUGCCUGUCUUCCUUACCAUGCCAUAAGCAGCUUGGAAGCUGGCACUGAAUCUGAAUUAACAUUGCCAGGGAUAUGAUGGAAUUGGCAUGUAUAAGCACAGGAAAACUGAGUGUUCAUAAGAAUUUUGUGAUCCAUUUGCUUGAAAUAAUCUGUAGUGGGAGUAGUUACACCACACAAAUUGGCAAAUACUACAAGUUAGAACCAUUUUUGUCAUUGUUGUUUUCUAGAGUUUCAGUUUACCACAUAGCAAUAACCAUAUUUCCUAGGUCUUGCUCAUUAUGGCAAACAGGAAGAUGUUCAGAAAUGUUUGUUGGAUAAUAAAGCAAAUGAUUAUAACAGAUCUAAAGUACUACAUCCAAGUUCUUAAUGAUUUAAGUCAAAUAAAGUUAGUGAAAAAUAUAAGAAUAAUUAGUAGAAAAUUAAGUGAGUAGAGAAACCUCUAUGGGCUCUGUGGGUUUUGAAAAAGGAUUUUAAAUGUUCAGAGAGUAUAUAAAGUGAUAAUUAUAGAAGACAUUGUGGUAGAUAAAAAUUCUAUUUGAGAAUCAGUUUUCAUAUAAAUUUAAGAAUUUUACAAAGAUUAAAUAUUAUAUGUGAAAAUACUUUAUAAAAUGUAUAGCAUAUAUACUGUAGUUGCUCUCAUAGGAUGAAAAAUGGUUGAUGAGGGCUUUAUGUAUGUAUGUAUGUAUGUUUAUAUGUAUGUUAAGAUGUUCUUUACUUCAGAAACAAAUGGUAUAUACUAAGAGUGAGUAAAUUUUAUUGUUUCUGAUGACCAUAUUCUCAUCUAUUUCUUGAAAUUCUUCUUAAUAUAUCAAAGAGGAAAAGACCAAAAAAUCAAAUCUAUUUCCAAAGGCUCAUCUAAUCUAAAGUAUC